UACGUAGGGGGCAAGCGUUGUCCGGAAUUACUGGGCGUAAAGGGCUCGUAGGUGGCCAACUAAGUCAGACGUGAAAUCCCUCGGCUUAACCGGGGAACUGCGUCUGAUACUGGAUGGCUUGAGUUCGGGAGAGGGAUGCGGAAUUCCAGGUGUAGCGGUGAAAUGCGUAGAUAUCUGGAGGAACACCGGUGGCGAAGGCGGCAUCCUGGACCGACACUGACACUGAGGAGCGAAAGCCAGGGGAGCGAACGGG
RNAcentral lists this ribosomal RNA (253 nucleotides) under uncultured bacterium. RNAcentral describes it as "partial 16S ribosomal RNA". It matches the Rfam family "Bacterial small subunit ribosomal RNA", at positions 524 to 776 of the family's 1533-position model. The record is from RNAcentral.